ACUCAAAUGAAUAGACGGGGGCCCGCACAAGCGGUGGAGCAUGUGGUUUAAUUCGAUGCAACGCGAAAAACCUUACCUAGGUUAGACAACAUCAGACAAUCCCAGAGAUGGGACUUCCCCUUCGGGGGCUGGUGGUUCAGGUGCUGCAUGGCUGUCGUCAGCUCGUAUCGUGAGAUGUUGGGUUAAGUCCUUUAACGAGCGCAACCCUUGUCCAUUAGUUGCCAUCAUUAAGUUGGGCACUCUAAGGAGACUGCCGGUGUUAAACCGGAGGAAGGCGGGGAUGACGUCAAGUCCUCAUGGCCUUUAUAUCUAGGGCUACACACGUGCUACAAUGGUCGGUACAGAGAGUCGCAAACCCGUGAGGGGGAGCUAAUCCCAGAAAACCGAUCUCAGUUCGGAUUGAAGUCUGCAAUUCGACUUCAUGAAGCUGGAAUCGCUAGUAAUCGCAGAUCAGCACGCUGCGGUGAAUACGUUCCCGGGCCUUGUACACACCGCCCGU
This 499-nucleotide ribosomal RNA is filed under the name uncultured bacterium. RNAcentral's name for it is "partial 16S ribosomal RNA". It matches the Rfam family "Bacterial small subunit ribosomal RNA", at positions 899 to 1397 of the family's 1533-position model. The record is from RNAcentral.